Molecule: long non-coding RNA, 485 nt
Organism: Felis catus (domestic cat)
Lineage: Eukaryota; Metazoa; Chordata; Mammalia; Carnivora; Felidae
Exons: 2
Source: RefSeq, a predicted model, not a curated record
CUGAGUGUUUGUUACUGUCGCUACUAUGACAUCAUCAUGGCUACUGCCACCUGCUGUAUUGCCUCGGACCCGGAGCUCCUCGAAGAACAUGUAAAGCCCACGAAGUCCCACGGCCGUUUUAACCAGAAUUUGACUACUCAUCCUUCUGUGGUGAGACGGCUGCCCUCAGCUACUUGUCCGCCACAGGGUUUUCCUCGACCACAAUUUCGGCCACCUCCACAAACCUUAUGCUGCUGUUCCCUGGAGCAGAAUGUGUACCAGUCACAGCUUCCCCCUGAGCUCCAGCCCUUCCAAAGUGGGGGAACCAGGGGCAAAUGAAUAGUUGGUUUACAUCCAUGUUUUUAAAAGACUCCAUGCUCGUGCUGCACAAGCCGGGACUCCUGCUUGCCGCCCGGGCGAUGCCUCUGACUCUCUCUGCCUCUCACCUCUGGAGGUGAGCCACAAGGUCUGAGCCCAGUAAAUGAUUAAGCCCUUCUUUGUUCCCA